UGGAGCUGAAAUCAGUCGAAGAUACCAGCUGGCUGCAACUGUUUAUUAAAAACACAGCACUGUGCAAACACGAAAGUGGACGUAUACGGUGUGACGCCUGCCCGGUGCCGGAAGGUUAAUUGAUGGGGUUAUCCGUAAGGAGAAGCUCUUGAUCGAAGCCCCGGUAAACGGCGGCCGUAACUAUAACGGUCCUAAGGUAGCGAAAUUCCUUGUCGGGUAAGUUCCGACCUGCACGAAUGGCGUAAUGAUGGCCAGGCUGUCUCCACCCGAGACUCAGUGAAAUUGAACUCGCUGUGAAGAUGCAGUGUACCCGCGGCAAGACGGAAAGACCCCGUGAACCUUUACUAUAGCUUGACACUGAACACUGGUCCUUGAUGUGUAGGAUAGGUGGGAGGCUUUGAAGUGUGGACGCCAGUCUGCAUGGAGCCAUCCUUGAAAUACCACCCUUUAAUGGCUGGUGUUCUAACGUGGACCCGUGAUCCGGGUUGCGGACAGUGUCUGGUGGGUAGUUUGACUGGGGCGGUCUCCUCCUAAAGAGUAACGGAGGAGCACGAAGGUUAGCUAAUCCUGGUCGGACAUCAGGAGGUUAGUGCAAAGGCAUAAGCUAGCUUGACUGCGAGAGUGACGGCUCGAGCAGGUGCGAAAGCAGGUCUUAGUGAUCCGGUGGUUCUGAAUGGAAGGGCCAUCGCUCAACGGAUAAAAGGUACUCCGGGGAUAACAGGCUGAUACCGCCCAAGAGUUCAUAUCGACGGCGGUGUUUGGCACCUCGAUGUCGGCUCAUCACAUCCUGGGGCUGAAGUAGGUCCCAAGGGUAUGGCUGUUCGCCAUUUAAAGUGGUACGCGAGCUGGGUUUAGAACGUCGUGAGACAGUUCGGUCCCUAUCUGCCGUGGGCGCUGGAGAAUUGAAGGGGGGCUGCUCCUAGUACGAGAGGACCGGAGUGGACGCAUCACUGGUGUUCGGGUUGUCAUGCCAAUGGCAUUGCCCGGUAGCUAAAUGCGGAAGAGAUAAGUGCUGAAAGCAUCUAAGCACGAAACUUGCCCCGAGAUGAGUUCUCCCUGAGACUAUAAGUCUCCUGAAGGAACGUUGAAGACGACGACGUUGAUAGGUCGGGUGUGUAAGUGUAGCG
This 1127-nucleotide ribosomal RNA is filed under the name Citrobacter freundii. RNAcentral's name for it is "bacterial LSU rRNA". It matches the Rfam family "Bacterial large subunit ribosomal RNA", at positions 1762 to 2880 of the family's 2925-position model. The record is from RNAcentral. Lineage: Bacteria; Pseudomonadati; Pseudomonadota; Gammaproteobacteria; Enterobacterales; Enterobacteriaceae.